UUAAGGAGAAGCAAGUGGAACAAAAGACUGUUUUAUUUUCUUUCUUUUUUUCCCCCUCUUCAUAUUUUCAGCACCCUGCAAUCAGGGCAUCUUGUUAGCUUUGGAUUCAGGUUAGACUUGUUGCAGGAGACAACUCCCUCUCUUCCUCCACCCUCCUGAUGUCUCACAUCUCCUCCACUCAUUUGUUCACACUUCUGUCACCAUUUCCAUUUUUUUUCUUUUUAAACGGGUGACACACAGCAUUUGUCUCCAAGGAGUGACUGUCUCUCUCCCGGGCCACGGCCUUUAGUCCUUCCUUGAUUCCUUCUUUCCCUCCCUCCCUUACUCGCCUUCUACUGACAGAGCAAACACGCCCUGCUGCAGCCCUUGAGCAGGGCACGCCGCGAUUGUUCGGGAGGAUUAUGGAGAAAAGGAGUGUGCGAUUCCUCUAAUUCCCUGACGAGUCAGGACUUGUAGACUGAAACUGGGCACGAGACGGAGAAAGCAAAAAGGAGGGAGUGGAAGACUCAAGUAGGUUAUGGCUGAAAGGGCAAAUAAAGAAGAGAACACAAAGUGAUCGAUGGGAAAUGAAAGCAUGCAGUGAGAAAAAAAAACAACGACAACGUGCACAGGACGGGCAUGCCUGCAAAAGCGGCGAGACAUUGUGGUGGUCUGAACAUGUUCCCGGCUUUUUAUUUGAGAUGACGAAACAACAGCCCUGGAAAGUUCUCCUCCUCCACUAUCCCACGGGAAUAUCCGCCGAGGAAAAGGGAUGGAGAACUGAUUGUGGAUGAGGAAAAGCUCGAGGGAGGUGAAGGGGUAAAUGUCAGGGAGGUGAUUUGGGUUGAAGAAAAAGAAGCAGAGAGGGGGAAAUGUUUAUCAUGAAGAAUCACUGCCUGCCUCAUUGACGUGUGAUGAUAGGUCCAAGCUGCGCUCACGCCUGGU
This is a long non-coding RNA of Phyllopteryx taeniolatus (common seadragon), 924 nucleotides long. RefSeq lists it as uncharacterized. Lineage: Eukaryota; Metazoa; Chordata; Actinopteri; Syngnathiformes; Syngnathidae. The transcript has 3 exons. The record is from RefSeq and is a predicted model, not a curated record.